CUCAGAUCAUGAACUCCUCAUUGCCAAAUUCAUACUUAAAUUGAAGAAAGUAGGGAAAACCACUAGACCAUUCAGAUAUGACCUAAAUCAAAUUCCUUACUACUAUACAGUGGAAGUGACAAAUAGAUUCAAGGGGUUAGAUCUGAUAGACAGAGUGCCU
Long non-coding RNA from Cervus elaphus (red deer), 160 nucleotides. RefSeq lists it as uncharacterized. The record is from RefSeq and is a predicted model, not a curated record. The transcript is spliced from 2 exons. Lineage: Eukaryota; Metazoa; Chordata; Mammalia; Artiodactyla; Cervidae.